RNAcentral lists this non-coding RNA (95 nucleotides) under human gut metagenome. RNAcentral's name for it is "S10-Clostridia ribosomal protein leader". It matches the Rfam family "S10-Clostridia ribosomal protein leader". The record is from RNAcentral.
AAGAGCGUUGAUGCAAAAGGUUGCUAUACCUCUUGGAUACAAGGGUUAUAGGUUUUUUUGCGGAGCAAUGUCCAGUUCAAGAAACCGGGCGACAA